AAAAAGAAGUGGUCUUCUAAUCUUUCAAAGGAGAAGGAACCUCUCUGUCUCUCAGCCAAGGAUGGACGACAUUCUACACCCAGUCUGCUAACUUUCCUCAUGGGUGUGUGUGUUCUGUAUGCUUCUUGUGUGGAUGGCGCAGUUCCAAGCCCAGAGGGAGAUUUGCCUAUCAAGUUACUGCUUCCGUUGACAAGAAUGAUUUAAUCAGAGGCCAAAGUGAGCUGGAAGUGAGGGGGAAGCCCUCGGAUAAUUAAGCCUUCUCGACUCUUCUCUAUUUUGUUUCAGUAUCUGUGGCCAAAGAUGGACAUGGUGUAGGUCUGUAAGACCAGCAUUAUCUGUGAGAGAUUCCUCCCCCCCUCUCCCUUACAGAACUGGUUCCAGAAAAUGAAAACCAAGACAAUAUUCAUGCUCUCACAUUUUAUGUGGUGUGAGAAGCGAAUCAAACUCAGCCGAGAUGAAUCCAAUCAAGCCUUCUGAAUCUAUCAGACUGAAGGCAAAGUCUGUAGAAAACUGGAGAAAAUGGAAUUG
Molecule: long non-coding RNA, 528 nt
Organism: Gekko japonicus
Lineage: Eukaryota; Metazoa; Chordata; Lepidosauria; Squamata; Gekkonidae
Exons: 4
Source: RefSeq, a predicted model, not a curated record